RNAcentral lists this ribosomal RNA (253 nucleotides) under uncultured bacterium. RNAcentral's name for it is "partial 16S ribosomal RNA". It matches the Rfam family "Bacterial small subunit ribosomal RNA", at positions 524 to 776 of the family's 1533-position model. The record is from RNAcentral.
UACGAAGGGUGCAAGCGUUAAUCGGAAUUACUGGGCGUAAAGCGUGCGUAGGCGGUCUUUUAAGUCUGCUGUGAAAUCCCCGGGCUCAACCUGGGAAUGGCAGUGGAUACUGGGAGGCUAGAGUGUGUCAGAGGAUGGUGGAAUUCCCGGUGUAGCGGUGAAAUGCGUAGAUGUCAGGAGGAAUACCGAUGGCGAAGGCAGGUCUCUGGGCUGACACUGACGCUCAUGCACGAAAGCGUGGGGAGCAAACAGG